Molecule: ribosomal RNA, 253 nt
Filed under: uncultured bacterium
Lineage: Bacteria
Description: partial 16S ribosomal RNA
Rfam family: Bacterial small subunit ribosomal RNA
Source: RNAcentral
UACGUAGGGUGCAGGCAUUAAUCGGAAUUAUUGGGCGUAAAGGGCGCGUAGGCGGAUUGAUAAGUCAGAUGUGAAAUACCAAAGCUCAACUUUGGUGCUGCAUUUGAAACUGUCUUUCUUGAGGAUUGACGGAGAAAGGGGAAUUCCACGAGUAGCGGUGAAAUGCGUAGAUACGUGGAGGAACACCGGUGGCGAAGGCGCCUUUCUAGUUUUUACCUGACGCUGAGGCGCGAGAGCAAGGGGAGCAAACAGG